Molecule: microRNA, 21 nt
Filed under: Macaca mulatta (Rhesus monkey)
Lineage: Eukaryota; Metazoa; Chordata; Mammalia; Primates; Cercopithecidae
Description: mml-miR-5697-3p
Source: miRBase by way of RNAcentral
CUUUUAUCUGAAACUGCUUGA